UACGGGGGGAGCAAGCGUUGUUCGGAUUUACUGGGCGUAAAGGGCGCGUAGGCGGUCGUGACAAGUCACUUGUGAAAUCUCCGGGCUUAACUCGGAACGGUCAAGUGAUACUGUCGGACUAGAGUACAGAAGGGGCAACUGGAAUUCUCGGUGUAGCGGUGAAAUGCGUAGAUAUCGAGAGGAACACCCGCGGCGAAGGCGGGUUGCUGGGCUGAUACUGACGCUGAGGCGCGAAAGCGUGGGGAGCAAACAGG
This 254-nucleotide ribosomal RNA is filed under the name uncultured bacterium. RNAcentral's name for it is "partial 16S ribosomal RNA". It matches the Rfam family "Bacterial small subunit ribosomal RNA", at positions 524 to 776 of the family's 1533-position model. The record is from RNAcentral.